UAAAAUAUUAGGUUGAUGCAAAAGUACUCACGGUUUUUGCCAUUACAAUUUCAAUGGCAAAAACUGUGAUUACUUUUGCAUCAACCUAAUAAUUAGCAUGAAUGGG
This 106-nucleotide microRNA precursor is filed under the name Chlorocebus sabaeus (green monkey). RNAcentral's name for it is "miRNA (ENSCSAG00000022891.1)". The record is from RNAcentral. Lineage: Eukaryota; Metazoa; Chordata; Mammalia; Primates; Cercopithecidae.